ACACUUGAAUAAAUCCAAUGUUUUCACUCCUUUGGCUUAUGGAAAGAAAAAUUGUUUUUUCAACUAUAAUUUUGGAAUUGUUCCGCUAAUCAUAAACACAGACAUAGCAAAGACAAGUGCCUACAAUUCCUGACUAAGCAAACAAAUAAAAAAUGAUGUAGCUGGGGAAAACUUCUACCUAGCAUUUAAAAGUGGAUAAAAUCAAUAAUGAGAAAUUGAAAUUGAGUUCAUGAAUUACAUCUUGGUUAACCAACUCCAAUUCAGUUUCAGUUUGAUGAUAAGAAAAAAAGGAAAAAAAUCCAAUAAAAGUGGGUCUCAUCGUUUUUGUAGGAAUCAAAGCUAAUUCUCCACACAAUACUUUCCUUUUAUUCCUAAAAACAAAGACUCUUCCUCCGUGAUUUCAGGGUUUUUAAAAGCUCAACUCCAAUAUAUAUGUAUAUAUAGCAACAUCCUUUAUAUCCAACAAGGCAAAAGCAUCCAACUUUUAUAAAUACAAAAGCGACCACAGAACAAAUAACAUUACCAUCAGAAUAAAAAAAAGGAACUGUUAAUUUUCCAAAGAAACAAACAGAAAAUUCAAGGAACCAAUGAAAUGAUUCAUUAGAACAACGAAUAACCAAAAAAACCCACCAUCGAAACAAG
This 642-nucleotide unclassified non-coding RNA is filed under the name Hevea brasiliensis (rubber tree). The record is from RNAcentral. Lineage: Eukaryota; Viridiplantae; Streptophyta; Magnoliopsida; Malpighiales; Euphorbiaceae.